CCUACGGGGAGCAGCAGUAGGGAAUAUUGCUCAAUGGGGGAAACCCUGAAGCAGCAACGCCGCGUGGAGGAUGAAGGUUUUCGGAUUGUAAACUCCUUUUGUUAGAGAAGAUAAUGACGGUAUCUAACGAAUAAGCACCGGCUAACUCCGUGCCAGCAGCCGCGGUAAUACGGAGGGUGCAAGCGUUACUCGGAACCACUGGGCGUAAAGAGAGCGUAGGCGGGAUAGCAAGUCAGAUGUGAAAUCCUAUGGCUUAACCAUAGAACUGCAUUUGAAACUGUUAUUCUAGAGUAUGGGAGAGGUAGGUGGAAUUCUUGGUGUAGGGGUAAAAUCCGUAGAGAUCAAGAGGAAUACUCAUUGCGAAGGCGACCUGCUAGAACAUAACUGACGCUGAUGCGCGAAAGCGUGGGGAGCAAACAGGAUUAGAUACCCCAGUAGUC
RNAcentral lists this ribosomal RNA (440 nucleotides) under uncultured bacterium. Its description in RNAcentral is "partial 16S ribosomal RNA". It matches the Rfam family "Bacterial small subunit ribosomal RNA", at positions 338 to 795 of the family's 1533-position model. The record is from RNAcentral.